RNAcentral lists this ribosomal RNA (254 nucleotides) under uncultured bacterium. RNAcentral's name for it is "partial 16S ribosomal RNA". It matches the Rfam family "Bacterial small subunit ribosomal RNA", at positions 524 to 776 of the family's 1533-position model. The record is from RNAcentral.
UACGUAGGGUGCGAGCGUUGUCCGGAAUUAUUGGGCGUAAAGAGCUCGUAGGCGGUGUGUCGCGUCGGCCGUGAAAACCUGCAGCUUAACUGUGGGCUUGCGGUCGAUACGGGCAUCACUGGAGUUCGGCAGGGGAGACUGGAAUUCCUGGUGUAGCGGUGAAAUGCGCAGAUAUCAGGAGGAACACCGAUGGCGAAGGCAGCCCCCUGGGUCAAGAUUGACGCUCAUGCACGAAAGCGUGGGGAGCAAACAGG